Molecule: long non-coding RNA, 758 nt
Filed under: Mus musculus (house mouse)
Lineage: Eukaryota; Metazoa; Chordata; Mammalia; Rodentia; Muridae
Description: predicted gene, 48257
Source: RNAcentral
AUGUCACAUGGGUCUAAGGACCAAAAUCAGAAGCACUGCUAUGGCCCCCAACCUUGCAAAGGGUUGGAGGUUUCAACUGUAGUCAGAAGUACAGCUCUACAACUUCAGCUGAGAAACUUCUGUGUUCCAUACAGAAUGGCUAACCUAAUCCAAGGUCUCCCUAAUUAUGUGCCUGCACAUAACUGUCACAAAGUGGAUCCACCAACGGAAGGCCUUUCAGGAGCAGAAGUGGUUGAUGAUGGCAAAUAUUUACACUCAAGCACGGUAUCUAAUAUGCUUCAGUUUGUCAUUGCCAGCAGGGCUGAAAGUGAGCAGUGUUGACAGUCUGCCACUCUUCUGGUGAGUCCUUUUGCUUUUUUGUCUUUUCCCUGGAUCACUUGAGCAUUGCUUGGCAGGGUGAGAUGAUGAAGAGCAGCUGGAAGAGGCUUUAGGACCAGGAGCCAGUCUCAAUCUAUUGCCCAUCAGGAGCCAUCACUGAUGUGUCUUAUGCUAAUUAUAUUCAGUUGCUGUUCUUCCCAUGGAACAGAGAACUAGCAAAGGGGCUUCCAAAGAGGAAGCAGCCUGGUCAAAAAGCCAACUAGAGCUCCACAGCUCGGCAUGCACCUGUGAACUGUAGAGCUAGGUGAACCAAAAGGUGUGUGGACGGUGCUCCCUCUACUGUUUGUCCUCACACCCAAGUGCCUCCCCAGUUUCAAUCAUUUGGAACAUUCCAUGGUUCUCAGAUCCCUCUCAUAAUAACCCUCUUACAAUAAUCCAAC